UACGAAGGGUGCAAGCGUUGUUCGGAAUUACUGGGCGUAAAGGGUUCGUAGGCGGGAAUGUAAGUUGGAUGUGAAAACCCCGGGCUUAACCUGGGACGUGCAUCCAAAACUGCGUUUCUUGAGUGUCUGAGAGGGUCGUGGAAUUGCUGGUGUAGGAGUGACAUCCGUAGAGAUCAGCAGGAACACCGGAGGCGAAAGCGACGACCUGGCAGAACACUGACGCUGAGGAACGAAAGCGUGGGGAGCAAACAGG
This 253-nucleotide ribosomal RNA is filed under the name uncultured bacterium. RNAcentral describes it as "partial 16S ribosomal RNA". It matches the Rfam family "Bacterial small subunit ribosomal RNA", at positions 524 to 776 of the family's 1533-position model. The record is from RNAcentral.